This 464-nucleotide ribosomal RNA is filed under the name uncultured bacterium. RNAcentral describes it as "bacterial SSU rRNA". It matches the Rfam family "Bacterial small subunit ribosomal RNA", at positions 331 to 792 of the family's 1533-position model. The record is from RNAcentral.
CCAGACUCCUACGGGAGGCAGCAGUGAGGAAUAUUGGUCAAUGGGCGGGAGCCUGAACCAGCCAAGUCGCGUGAGGGAAGACGGUCCUAUGGAUUGUAAACCUCUUUAGGUGGGGAGCAAUGCCGGGCACGCGUGUCCGGAGGGAGAGUACCCGCAGAAUAAGCAUCGGCUAACUCCGUGCCAGCAGCCGCGGUAAUACGGAGGAUGCGAGCGUUAUCCGGAUUUAUUGGGUUUAAAGGGUGCGUAGGCGGAUUUUUAAGUCAGCGGUAAAAUGUCCGGGCUCAACCCGGGCCGGCCGUUGAAACUGGCGGGCUGGAGUUGGAGAGAAGUACGCGGAAUGCGCGGUGUAGCGGUGAAAUGCUUAGAUAUCGCGCAGAACCCCGAUUGCGAAGGCAGCGUACCGGCUCCACACUGACGCUGAGGCACGAAAGCGUGGGUAUCGAACAGGAUUAGAUACCCUAGUA